GAAUGCUGACAUAAGUAACGAUAAAGCGGGUGAAAAGCCCGCUCGCCGGAAGACCAAGGGUUCCUGUCCAACGUUAAUCGGGGCAGGGUGAGUCGACCCCUAAGGCGAGGCCGAAAGGCGUAGUCGAUGGGAAACAGGUUAAUAUUCCUGUACUUGGUGUUACUGCGAAGGGGGGACGGAGAAGGCUAUGUUAGCCGGGCGACGGUUGUCCCGGUUUAAGCAUGUAGGCGGAGGUUCCAGGUAAAUCCGGUACCUUUUAACGCUGAGGUGUGAUGACGAGGCACUACGGUGCUGAAGUAACAAAUGCCCUGCUUCCAGG
Molecule: ribosomal RNA, 319 nt
Filed under: Klebsiella variicola subsp. variicola
Lineage: Bacteria; Pseudomonadati; Pseudomonadota; Gammaproteobacteria; Enterobacterales; Enterobacteriaceae
Description: partial 23S ribosomal RNA
Rfam family: Bacterial large subunit ribosomal RNA
Source: RNAcentral